Molecule: ribosomal RNA, 253 nt
Filed under: uncultured bacterium
Lineage: Bacteria
Description: partial 16S ribosomal RNA
Rfam family: Bacterial small subunit ribosomal RNA
Source: RNAcentral
UACGUAGGGACCGAGCGUUGUCCGGAAUCAUUGGGCGUAAAGAGCGCGCAGGCGGUCGAAUAAGUCGAAUGUGAAAGCCCCCGGCUCAACUGGGGAGGGUCAUUCGAUACUGCUCGACUUGAAGGCAGGAGAGGGUAGUGGAAUUCCCGGUGUAGUGGUGAAAUGCGUAGAUAUCGGGAGGAACACCAGUGGCGAAGGCGACUACCUGGCCUGUUCUUGACGCUGAGGCGCGAAAGCUGGGGGAGCAAACGGG